This is a long non-coding RNA of Strongylocentrotus purpuratus (purple sea urchin), 3333 nucleotides long. RefSeq lists it as uncharacterized. The transcript is spliced from 2 exons. The record is from RefSeq and is a predicted model, not a curated record. NCBI's taxonomy places the organism in Eukaryota, Metazoa, Echinodermata, Echinoidea, Camarodonta, Strongylocentrotidae.
CACAUUAUGACACAAUUUAAAAGAAAUUUUUCCAUCAAAUUUUUGGGGCUCCCAACACUUUAGAGGGGCUUUAAGUUUUACUGUCUUUGAGAACUUACCAAUGAAGGUAAAAAUGUUUGCUUGUGAUAACCAAUAUUUUCCCUGCCUAUUUUACCUUUUGCCAUGCAGCAAUAGGCAUUCCACAUUUUACCAUCGUUGCUACUAUCAAUUUUUCAUCAAUUUUAAGUGUAAAUAUAGAUAACUUUUGUGAAUUGAUCACCUUCAUCAUUUCUUUCAUCUAGAAAUGGGUAUCUUUUAAAAUUCAAACCUCACAGCAGUUUGUUUCAAUUAUAUGACCAAUCCCAGCAAUCUAUGAAUGUUACACCAUUUCUGUUCUGCAGAACCUUCUAUGUACAAUAUGUGGAGUUUUAUUCAUCAAUGUCUUUUUUUAAGCAGGGUAUUUAGAGGUAUUACGGAGGUGUGUGUGUGUAAGGAAUUUGGUGUAGUAUUCAGACUGAAUUGUGUUUAGUUUUGAAUUCUGAGUGAUUAUGCUGUUAUGAUUCUCUUGACAGUUUCUUAAACUUAGAUCCAGUUAAAGAAACUGAUAUUGUGUGGCUGUUUCCAUCUGAACUAAAGAAUUAACAAUUUUAGUGAUUGGAAUCCUUCUAAAAUUUUGAAGAAUGAAUUUGGUGCAAUCAAUUUCUGAUUCUGAUCAGAAAUCGUCAAAAUGUCCAAUGCUAUAACGUUAGUAAAAGGAAGCUAAACGAUGAUGAUCCAUGUAUGAUUUCAUUUAGCAAUCCUUGCUUGAAAGUUUACAUAAUUUACAGUAAACUAUGUGCGUGAAUAGUCUUUCGUAAUACAUAAAAAGGUGUUCAGUGAUUGGACUCCAUUUAGAAUCUUGAACCAUAAAUUUUGUGCAAUCAUUUUUUGAUCCUGAUCAGAAACGUCCAAACUUAUAAUCCUAUAAUGUUGGAUAAAGAUAAAUGGACGCUAAAAUAUAAUGUUGAUGAAGCAAUGUAUGAUUUCAUUUAGCAAUCUUUGAAAGCUUGAAAGUUUACAUAACCUGUAGUGAACUGUGCAUCUGAAUAGUCUGGUACCGGUACAUGAAAAGGAGAAAGGAGAAGUGUCAUUAAUAAUAAUAAUUAUGUUAUAAAUGGUUCGUUUUAUUGAAAAUCAUCUCACAGCCUGAAGGCUCAAUUGUGUGACUUUUUACAUUUGUAUAGCGCUUAAUACUACAUUUAUAAGAACUUUACAUUUGUAUUUAUUAUUACCUUGGUCAUUGAAUUCAGUUGGCUGACCCGCCCAUGAUAUUUCACAUGCUCUGCUUUCUGGGGAGUAUUCUGGCCAGGUGCCAUUUUACAAGUGCACUCAAGCCAAUCCAACAUAAAUGUUCACUUUCUACCAGGUACCCAUUGAACACCUGGGUGGAGAAUGGCAAAUGUAGAUUAAUGUCUUGCCAAAGCCAUGGGGGGACUCAAACCAUGAACCAUUAUGAUCCACACCAGUGGCGUAUCCACUAGACCAUGACACCUCUACUGAAUCAUGAAUAAUGGUUAUGAUAACUGAUAUAAUGCAUGUAUUGAAAAUUAUGAUGUGUUAAGAAGCUGGAAAUAUAGAUUAUGCCAGCAUUUUUCAACUCGGGUGCCGCAGGACAUCUCCAGGGGUGCCGCAAGAGAAAUUAAUUGAAGACAUAUUUUUUGAUCCAUUAUGAAAUAAAGGGUGAAUUUUGUAAAAACAAAAUGCUAGAAACCUCUGUUUUUUUCCCUGGAGAAAUAACAUUUGAAGAACAAUUAAGUUGCAAAACGGUAUGAUUUCUUGCAUCUAGGUGACCGAAGAUAUGACUACUAUACAGCAACUUACCUGUGUACAUAAUAUCAUAUCUUUUUCUAGUGUUAAAAAUUACAUGGUUUUUCGCUCGCUUGCUUCUCUCUCUCUCGGUGAGUAACAGAGUGAUACAAGAUUAAUCUUCUGUAAUUUCUUUCUCUAAAGGGUGCCGUGGCUAUAAAAACUGGUGAUAAGUGCAUUAUUCAUGUGCAUGCCCAUCUUUGUGCAUGUUUAUGUGUUUGGGGUUGAGGUGUGUAUAAGCAUGCUAAGUUGUCACAAUUAAUGCAGUUUUGAUUGAUAAUAUAAUUAAUUUGUAUAUUGAUGUUAGCCUGAGGCUAACUAUACUAUAUUUGCAAGUGCAAACAAAUCACUCACUUGGUUUUAAAUGAAGAUAAAUCAGUACUUCUAUCUACAAAUUAUACCAUAUAUAUCAAUCAUACAAAGAUAAUAUUAAUUAUGUCGGAAGUUGGAAAUUUGUGGAAGUCUUUAUUUUAUGAUGUUUAAGUUUAAUUUAUAUUUUAUAUUCUGCUUCCAAUUAAGUGUUAAGGAUCGAGGUAAGAUCUGAUGUUUUUUCACUUGGAAAAUUCCUUUUCCAUAGUAUAAUGUGACCUGCAUAGCUGAGUCAGGUGUUUAUUUCAGUUGUACACUAGAUUGCGUAAUGACAUUAGGCCAAGUGGCAGUGACAUUCCUUUUUUUUAUUGUAUGCAUGAAUUAGUCUGUAUGUUAACGUACGUACGUACGCGGUAUGGGCGAGUAGCUCUAUCUUGGGUGUGGUUAGCUCAGGCACCAAUUGAACAUCCAUAUGCAGGGACGUGUUCUAGGUCGGGCAAGACUUUGGUUUUGGAGAUCCUUCGGCUGGGAGGUAUGGGACUACAGCUGGUCCAGGCCUACAUGUAGGUGAUGACUGCAUUUCUGCUUGUAGCAGUGACGGGUAGUGAGUGACUGGAGUUUGCAGUUUGGUUGUCGCAGCUUGUUGCUUGACAUUUGUUUGAUAUGUUUAAUCAAACAGUGAUACUUUUGAUGUUUAUAAUGCAGUAUAGUAUAGUAAUAUUAAUGAGCUUUCUGAUUAAUGCUUUACCAUGUUUUGUAAAUGCUUUCAAAUAAUAUUAUAAAGGAUGAUUUAUUGAGGGAAUGAAUUGAUUCUUUAUCAGAGGGUUUGAUAAGAUAAUGCACUUUAUGGAGUUAAUUGUAAUUUUAUUGUCUUAUAUCUGGUUGAUGAUUAAGAUGCUUUGAUGAUUAAGAUGUUUUGAUAAUUAAGAUGCUUUGAAUAUUUAGAUAAACAUUAUCUGAAUAUGAGGAAUCUCUAAAUAAAGUACGAGACACACAUAUAUUGUUUGUAACAAUAUAUGAUUAUUCGAUGACUAGAAGUCUGAUUGGUUUUUAUACAAUACAUGCAUAUUGAAUAUGUAUGUGAACGAUGACAUUGAACUACUUGAAUCUGUAAUAUGGUACAAGUGAUUUAUCACUGGCUUUUUCUGUAUCUUUACAGGGUUUUUUGUUAACGACACAGAAUAAACUUCAAUGCCCUUA